RNAcentral lists this transfer RNA (97 nucleotides) under Rhodocollybia butyracea. It matches the Rfam family "tRNA". From Rfam's summary of the family: Transfer RNA (tRNA) molecules are approximately 80 nucleotides in length. Their secondary structure includes four short double-helical elements and three loops (D, anti-codon, and T loops). Lineage: Eukaryota; Fungi; Basidiomycota; Agaricomycetes; Agaricales; Omphalotaceae. The record is from Rfam by way of RNAcentral.
GGCUGGAUGGCCGAGCGGUUAAGGCGUGUGACUCAAGCGUCAAAGCUUCCUUUCUCAUCAUCGUAUGAUGGCGUGGGUUCAAGUCCCACUCCAGUCA